GAGGAGGAUCCAUCAUGACGAAGUCAUGAUUCGGAAUGGAUCCGACGAGUUGCCGCCGAACGGAUGUGAGGGGGCGUUUCCAU
RNAcentral lists this small RNA (83 nucleotides) under bovine gut metagenome. RNAcentral describes it as "GA-cis RNA". It matches the Rfam family "GA-cis RNA". The record is from RNAcentral.